CUACGGGUGGCACCAGUGAGGAAUAUUGCACAAUGGGGGGAACCCUGAUGCAGCAACGCCGCGUGGAGGAUGACGCAUUUCGGUGUGUAAACUCCUUUUAUAUGUCAAGAAAAUGACGGUAGCAUAUGAAUAAGCGCCGGCUAACUCCGUGCCAGCAGCCGCGGUAAUACGGAGGGCGCAAGCGUUACUCGGAAUCACUGGGCGUAAAGGACGCGUAGGCGGGUUGAAAAGUCAGGUGUGAAGGCCUACAGCUUAACUGUAGAACUGCACUUGAAACUCUCAACCUAGAAUAUGGGAGGGGCAGAUGGAAUUAGUGGUGUAGGGGUAAAAUCCGUAGAUAUCACUAGGAAUACCUAAAGCGAAGGCGAUCUGCUGGAACAUUACUGACGCUAAGGCGUGAAAGCGUGGGGAGCAAACAGGAUUAGAUACCCCCGUAGUC
RNAcentral lists this ribosomal RNA (439 nucleotides) under uncultured bacterium. RNAcentral's name for it is "partial 16S ribosomal RNA". It matches the Rfam family "Bacterial small subunit ribosomal RNA", at positions 339 to 795 of the family's 1533-position model. The record is from RNAcentral.